This 215-nucleotide long non-coding RNA is filed under the name Zea mays. Its description in RNAcentral is "long non-coding RNA NONZMAT000533". Lineage: Eukaryota; Viridiplantae; Streptophyta; Magnoliopsida; Poales; Poaceae. The record is from RNAcentral.
GUUUGUUUAUCAAAAACAUAAGGUCUCUUUAGCAAAAUGCGCACAACGAAGGGGUAUCGGGUACCCAGAGCCGCCCGAUCUUAUCCGAACGGGCCAGAUUAGCUCCACGAGAUUGUGAACCGGUACACAAUACGGGCCCUUGGAUCGGAGAUCUAUGGCCAGCGACCCAUGUGACCCCUAAACCACCCGAUAGCCGAUCGACGACUGGAUCUUUC